UAAUACGUAGGGGGCAAGCGUUGUCCGGAAUCAUUGGGCGUAAAGAGCGUGUAGGCGGCCCGAUAAGUCCGCCGUGAAAGCCCAGGGCUCAACCCUGGGAUGCCGGUGGAUACUGUCGGGCUAGAGUUCGGAAGAGGCAAGUGGAAUUCCUGGUGUAGCGGUGAAAUGCGCAGAUAUCAGGAGGAACACCUAUGGCGAAGGCAGCUUGCUGGGACGACACUGACGCUGAGACGCGAAAGCGUGGGGAGCAAACAGGAUUAGAUACCCUGGUAGUCCACGCUGUAAACGAUGGGCACUAGGUGUGGGGGGUGUCGACUCCCCCCGUGCCGGCGCUAACGCAUUAAGUGCCCCGCCUGGGGAGUACGGCCGCAAGGCUA
This 377-nucleotide ribosomal RNA is filed under the name uncultured bacterium. RNAcentral describes it as "bacterial SSU rRNA". It matches the Rfam family "Bacterial small subunit ribosomal RNA", at positions 521 to 896 of the family's 1533-position model. The record is from RNAcentral.